GUUGGGCUGUUCGCCCAUUAAAGCGGUACGCGAGCUGGGUUCAGAACGUCGUGAGACAGUUCGGUCCCUAUCCGUCGUGGGCGCAGGAAAUUUGAGAGGAGCUGUCCUUAGUACGAGAGGACCGGGAUGGACGCACCGCUGGUGUACCAGUUGUCUUGCCAAAGGCAUCGCUGGGUAGCUAUGUGCGGAAGGGAUAAGUGCUGAAAGCAUCUAAGCAUGAAGCCCCCCUCGAGAUGAGAUUUCCCAUCACGUAAGUGAGUAAGAUCCCUAGAAGAUGACUAGGUAGAUAGGUCAGAGAUGGAAGCAUGGCGACAUGUGGAGUUGACUGAUACUAAUCGAUCGAGGACUUAACCACAA
This 357-nucleotide ribosomal RNA is filed under the name Bacillus sp. CH30_1T. RNAcentral describes it as "partial 23S ribosomal RNA". It matches the Rfam family "Bacterial large subunit ribosomal RNA", at positions 2571 to 2925 of the family's 2925-position model. The record is from RNAcentral. Lineage: Bacteria; Bacillati; Bacillota; Bacilli; Caryophanales; Bacillaceae.